GACAGAGGGUGCAAACGUUGCUCGGAAUCACUGGGCGUAAAGGGCGUGUAGGCGGGUAGAUAAGUCGGGCGUGAAAUCCCUAGGCUCAACCUAGGAACUGCACUCGAAACUGUUUAUCUUGAGUGCCGGAGAGGAAAGCGGAAUUCCUGGUGUAGAGGUGAAAUUCGUAGAUAUCAGGAGGAACACCAGUGGCGAAGGCGGCUUUCUGGACG
Molecule: ribosomal RNA, 212 nt
Filed under: uncultured bacterium
Lineage: Bacteria
Description: partial 16S ribosomal RNA
Rfam family: Bacterial small subunit ribosomal RNA
Source: RNAcentral